RNAcentral lists this ribosomal RNA (253 nucleotides) under uncultured bacterium. Its description in RNAcentral is "partial 16S ribosomal RNA". It matches the Rfam family "Bacterial small subunit ribosomal RNA", at positions 524 to 776 of the family's 1533-position model. The record is from RNAcentral.
UACAGAGGUCUCAAGCGUUGUUCGGAUUCAUUGGGCGUAAAGGGUGCGUAGGCGGCGCGGUAAGUCGGGUGUGAAAUCUCGGAGCUUAACUCCGAAACUGCAUUCGAUACUGCCGUGCUUGAGGACUGGAGAGGAGACUGGAAUUUACGGUGUAGCAGUGAAAUGCGUAGAUAUCAGGAGGAACACCGAUGGCGAAGGCAGGUCUCUGGGCUGACACUGACGCUCAUGCACGAAAGCGUGGGGAGCAAACAGG